RNAcentral lists this transfer RNA (72 nucleotides) under Chelonia mydas (Green sea turtle). It matches the Rfam family "tRNA". From Rfam's summary of the family: Transfer RNA (tRNA) molecules are approximately 80 nucleotides in length. Their secondary structure includes four short double-helical elements and three loops (D, anti-codon, and T loops). Lineage: Eukaryota; Metazoa; Chordata; Testudines; Cheloniidae. The record is from Rfam by way of RNAcentral.
GGCAGUGUUGCCUAGUGGAUAGAGCAGCUCACUGGGGUUCAGGAGAUCUGGGUUCCAUUCCCAGCUCUGCUG